AUAACCUUUCCGAGCCGCUGCAAAAUCAGCGGUCGGAUGUGGAAGUCCGGUGA
Molecule: non-coding RNA, 53 nt
Filed under: unclassified sequences
Source: RNAcentral